AGUUGAAUGUGAACAGAGAAACCCUUGCGUGCCUCAGUCCGUCUCCUCCAGAUCCCCCAAACAGAAUGAUGAGAGACUGAACCUUGGAUCUUGUCUUGAAGUGGGCUGGUCUUGGCAUUCGACUUCUGUCCGUGUUUGUGGCUGCUGAGGCAGCACUCAAAUAAAUUGCUUCUGCUUGAAGGUACUUUAACAUGCAUAAACACACACACACGCAUUAUUAUACUAGAAUCGAAUGCAUUAUUUGUUGCAUGAUGUGUGACGAUUCUUAAUGCUUUAUGUGAAGAUACAGCAAUGCAAUAGUGACACCAAAGUAUUUCGUUUUCCAAAGAGUUUACAAUGAGCUACAUACGGAUAUGAUGGUGUGGGGUAGUUGUACAGGAAGCUCUGUCAUUGUACCUCGAGGCGAGCGGGAUUUCCUUGAGAAACAACUAUGAGGUCAUACAUGGGCCGUGCCGGACAAAGCACUCCAUAGGAACACGCUGUCCCCUUCGUCUGGACGUGGAAUACUUGACACGGUCCUCGAGACAUAGCCGCUUGACAUUACGCAAUGUCACACAAUGUAGAAUGACUAGGAAUGUUGCAAAGGAAAAGGUCUGUAAUGCUGGCACAUCACUGAACAGGAAAUUUUGACGUCGUUUUUCUUCAGUUCCUUGUUCGUCCGCUCUCUUCGGGGACUCAUUUUCAGACCAUUUUGUGUGACUGACUCCAAAGUGACUCAACCGUGUUGUGUUCAGUAAACAGCCUUCGGGCAAAGAACAGCAGGCCUAUCUUAGCCACAAAAGACUUUGAAUGAUGUGUCUUUUUCCAACUCUCCCUCAUCUCGACACAACAACCUGAUGGCUGGUUUCAUUUUGGGUUUAUAAUAGCAUCGCAAAGAUUUUUCCUGCUUGUUCAAUUUACUUAACUUGCUUAAGUUAAAUCAAUACAACUUUUGAAUGUUAAGUCAUAUAACACAUAAAGUCGGGACAACAUAAAGGGGUUGUUUUGUCUUAACAUUAAACAGUUAUAACUGGG
Triplophysa dalaica is the source of this 1014-nucleotide long non-coding RNA. RefSeq lists it as uncharacterized. The record is from RefSeq and is a predicted model, not a curated record. The transcript is spliced from 3 exons. NCBI's taxonomy places the organism in Eukaryota, Metazoa, Chordata, Actinopteri, Cypriniformes, Nemacheilidae.